RNAcentral lists this microRNA precursor (63 nucleotides) under Eptatretus burgeri (inshore hagfish). RNAcentral's name for it is "Ebu-Mir-29-P1e_pre stem-loop". The record is from RNAcentral. Lineage: Eukaryota; Metazoa; Chordata; Myxini; Myxiniformes; Myxinidae.
ACUGGUUUCACAUGGUGAAGUAGAUACAGCGACAUCUUGUCUAGCACCAUAUGAAAUCAGUGU